Molecule: long non-coding RNA, 571 nt
Filed under: Anser brachyrhynchus (Pink-footed goose)
Lineage: Eukaryota; Metazoa; Chordata; Aves; Anseriformes; Anatidae
Description: lncRNA (ENSABRG00000020877.1)
Source: RNAcentral
GGACUAAAAUAAGAUAGACUUUCCUAGUUAUCAUUAAGAGGUGAUAAUUUGCAGCCUAAGUGUGUUGCCAUGGAGAUGUGAGAAGCCCCCAAAGAGGGAGGCCGGGGAGUUACGGCCUAAUCCUGAGGUGAUUUUCAAUAGCACCAGCUGUCCCGGGGCUGAAAGGCAUGGCAAAUUACACCAUUAUUGGAGGGAAAUAGGGAGGCUAAGCUAAUUAUUUGUGGGCUUUAGACACAGGUGUUCAUAAAAGCGGGGCCGUGUGCUCCUCAUCAAGGCCGGCUGGGGAGGGGGAGGCCCGGCGGGAGGCCCUGGCUCUCAUUUCAAUCACAAAGGGCGGCCAUGGGCACGCUGCCGCCAUGCUGCGCGCGGGGCCUUCGCCACAGGUGUUGUUCCAGGGCACCUGUGCUACGUGGGGCGUGCGUCAGGAAUAAACACCGAUUCUUGUUGGCAUAGACCGAAGAACAUCUACUGGAGAGCACAGCGUGGGCAAUUUGCUCUGUCUUGUAGUAUGCUGGGUAAAUGUACCGUCUCUCUUGGUUGCAGCCUUCAGGAGCAUAGCAAAAAUGACUAA